RNAcentral lists this non-coding RNA (155 nucleotides) under Acuticoccus sp. MNP-M23. Its description in RNAcentral is "6S RNA". It matches the Rfam family "6S / SsrS RNA". From Rfam's summary of the family: E. coli 6S RNA was the first non coding RNA to be sequenced, but its function was unknown until recently. It consists of 184 nucleotides that fold into an extended hairpin structure with a large single-stranded internal bulge. Lineage: Bacteria; Pseudomonadati; Pseudomonadota; Alphaproteobacteria; Hyphomicrobiales; Amorphaceae. The record is from RNAcentral.
GCGAUGCUGCCUGGUUCGUCAGGAUUUUGAAUCCCCGGGGCCUUAUCGAUCCUAAAGGGAGCUGUCCCUGUUGAGGCCCGUGGGCUUCAGUAAACGGCGCCCACCUACUCUGUAGGUUCCCGGGAUCGUACUUCCAACGGCCGAGGUGGCUCGCU